AAUGGGUGAGGACGGACCUACGUCACUUCCGCCUACAAAUCCCCAACUGGGAAUUCGUUGAAAACAAACCAGCUCACAGCGAACACAGCAUUGACAGAAAAAGCAUUUAACGAGCGUUGUGGCUUGGAAGUCGGCGUUAAAUCCUUCAUUUACGCAUUUUUACUUCUUCGCAUAUCGUGUGAAAAAACGAAAAUGUAUUAUUUGCGUCAGACUCGUCUCAGUGAACUUUAAAGCUUCUCAGGCUUAGCUUAGCUUGCUAGUUAGCUUAGCCUGCGCGCUACUAAGAAAGAGACGCGGAAGUUAUCAACAACAAGAUCAAGUGUUAGUGUAUAAAAUAUUGAGAGAUUUGAGGGCUACAUGUAUUGUUUAAGUACAACAAAGGAGAGUUUAAACAGAGAAGGGGGAGGUGGCAAAAUAACCUAAUAAGGAAAGUAAUACCAAGAUUACGGGUAAAUAAUACUGGAAUGUCCGGCAAAAAACCCCAAAAGAAAGCAGACUGGCCCCUAGUAGCCUGGUCCUUGUAAGUUGUAGCCUUAUGAAGGUGCAGUACAGCAGGCGAAUAAUGUACAAAAUAUAUGCCUUUGUAUUGAAAAGUCUUGCAGACAGCAUUUUGUGACUGUCCUGAAAAGUUGAUUAAAUGGCAACAUGAAAAUUAUAGGGUUUAUUGGUUUUUAAAAACCCAACUGUUAAGUGCAAAUUUAAACGAAACUGGUUUUGCCAUUUGUCUCGUCUCUGUGGGCUUUUAUCACGCUUUGGCAGAACAAAAUACAACCUUUGUUUUCCCUGUUUCCAGUUGUGGUUAGCACAACCAAAAACAACACAGUUUUUCGGCAUUUUGGAGGCAGAAUGACGGGUUUAACCAGCGUAGGUCGACAGGUUAAAGAGUAAUGGCAACGGUUUGUUUUCAACGCCAGUCUGGUUGCUAUGGCUCGAAGAACCCGUAUGUAGCUCAGUUGCCCGGAUGUCGGCCCUCACCCAUUAGCUGUGCUUUUAAGCCGGUAGCAGGAAGUGGCCUGUAGACAGAACUUGAGGGAAACAGACUGUAUUUCUGCUCGAGAGCUGACUACCAGCGCCGGAGUUUUUUCUCAUUAAGUUGUGUGUGACUGUAGAAGAGUUGGCCAGGAUUCUCUUUUUGAUGGCGACCUAAGGAAAAGAAGCAUCUAGUCCAAGGAUCGUUCUUGGAAGAUUCCAGCCAGGAACCCCACCACCUGUUCUGUCUGGGCGGCCCGCUAACAGCCAAGGACUUCAACGACCUCAACGAAGAUAAGAUGACAGCACGCAGACGAAGCAGAGACUUCAAGGACCUCAACGAAGAUAAGAUGACAACACGCAGACAAAGCGGGGACAAGGCGAAAUCACAAGGCCCCCAGCACAUUCUGUCACGUACUGUGCGUCCUGGACCUGCUUUGCAUAAUAUAUGUCACCACUCCUUUUAGAGGCGGCCUCAGUGAUGUUGACUAUGGAACUCUGAAUAAAAAGAGGGACGCGGGAGCUGAACCUUAGAGCGUAGGGCGAGGCUGUGACUAAGUGUGCAGCUCCAUGCGUUCUCCUCAUGAGCUAAAUUGAACUCUGUCUCUGCAUGAUUCCUUGCUUCUUGUCUGAUUAAUA
Molecule: long non-coding RNA, 1608 nt
Organism: Entelurus aequoreus (snake pipefish)
Lineage: Eukaryota; Metazoa; Chordata; Actinopteri; Syngnathiformes; Syngnathidae
Exons: 4
Source: RefSeq, a predicted model, not a curated record